CCUCUGUUUUGCUCUAUUUUUCUGCUCAUCUCCACUGAAAAUUUCAGCAUCAAUUUUUAGUUUUAAGGAAAGGAAAAUUAAAGUUGUUCUUAGUUCUUCUUGCUUGAGUGUGAGACCAACUUGAAGAAAUCACUACAGUCUAAUCUUGGUAGGUUGUUCAGCCAAGAGAGCUAUUCACACCGAGUUCUACUCCGGGUGAUGUCUCCAAGAAAGAAAACAGUUGCAAAGAAGUCUUCUAAGCAUCUUCGAUUUGACAACAAACUUUUUAGAAGUAGUGAUGCUUUUGAGGCUUAUACAGAUUUAUUCAGCUCGGUUGUGAUCAUUGUGGAAAGGGAAGUGAACCUUGACUCACUCUCUCAGAGAUUCAUUCCAGAGGUGUUCAGGGAUUGAACUUGGACUAAGUUCCU
This is a long non-coding RNA of Quercus lobata, 407 nucleotides long. RefSeq lists it as uncharacterized. The transcript has 2 exons. The record is from RefSeq and is a predicted model, not a curated record. Lineage: Eukaryota; Viridiplantae; Streptophyta; Magnoliopsida; Fagales; Fagaceae.